RNAcentral lists this transfer RNA (85 nucleotides) under Campylobacterales bacterium. RNAcentral describes it as "tRNA-Leu". It matches the Rfam family "tRNA". From Rfam's summary of the family: Transfer RNA (tRNA) molecules are approximately 80 nucleotides in length. RNAcentral also lists the same sequence under 1 other name. Lineage: Bacteria; Pseudomonadati; Campylobacterota; Epsilonproteobacteria; Campylobacterales. The record is from RNAcentral.
GCGACGGUGGUGGAAUGGUAGACACGCUAUCUUGAGGGGGUAGUGGGCUUUGCCCGUGCGAGUUCAAGUCUCGCUCGUCGCACCA